RNAcentral lists this ribosomal RNA (265 nucleotides) under uncultured bacterium. RNAcentral describes it as "partial 16S ribosomal RNA". It matches the Rfam family "Bacterial small subunit ribosomal RNA", at positions 90 to 354 of the family's 1533-position model. The record is from RNAcentral.
ACUUAGUGGCGGACGGGUGAGUAACGCGUGGGUAACCUGCCUCACACAGGGGGAUAACAGUUGGAAACGACCGCUAAUACCGCAUAACCCGCCGGUAUCGCAUGAUACUGACGGAAAAGAUUUUAUCGGUGUGAGAUGGACCCGCGUCUGAUUAGCCAGUUGGCAGGGUAACGGCCUACCAAAGCGACGAUCAGUAGCCGGCCUGAGAGGGUGAACGGCCACAUUGGGACUGAGACACGGCCCAAACUCCUACGGGAGGCAGCAG